AACGAACGCUGGCGGCAGGCUUAACACAUGCAAGUCGAACGGUUGUAGCAAUACAGCAGUGGCAGACGGGUGAGUAACACGUGGGAACCUUCCUAGGGGUACGGAACAACUCAGGGAAACUUGAGCUAAUACCGUAUACGUCCGUGAGGAGAAAGAUUUAUCGCCCUUAGACGGGCCCGCGUCGGAUUAGCUAGUUGGUGGGUAACGGCCUACCAAGGCGACGAUCCGUAGCUGAUCUUAGAGGAUGAUCAGCCACACUGGGACUGAGACACGGCCCAGACUCCUACGGGAGGCAGCAGUGGGGAAUCUUGGACAAUGGGCGCAAGCCUGAUCCAGCCAUGCCGCGUGAGUGAAGAAGGUCUUCGGAUUGUAAAGCUCUUUGCCAGGGACGAUAAUGACGGUACCUGGAGAAUAAGCCCGGCAAACUUCGUGCCAGCAGCCGCGGUAAU
This 449-nucleotide ribosomal RNA is filed under the name uncultured bacterium. Its description in RNAcentral is "bacterial SSU rRNA". It matches the Rfam family "Bacterial small subunit ribosomal RNA", at positions 29 to 524 of the family's 1533-position model. The record is from RNAcentral.